GAUCUCGGUGGGGAGGGAAGGCAGGGGCAGGGGAGGGAGAUGGUGGGUGGUGCCGAUGGCACUUUAGGAUGAGGGCAGAGGGUGAAACGAGGGAGGCCUGAGCGGGGUGACCAGAGACAAGGGUGGGGCCUCUUCCCCCUUGGCCGGCUGGGACGGGAGGGAACGUGGUCCAAGGCCAGUUACAGGACAUGGAGGGACCUGCCACCUGGGGCUGCCUCUGCAGGGUCAGAGGCUGUGGAGAGGGAGGUGGCUGAAGAGAGCGGUGAAGGGUGAGCUGGCAGCCGAGAACGGCUCUCACUGCUCCAGGGACUGCUACCUCCACAUCUGCAGGGUGCGACAGCACCCCCCCCGGACCCCACUCGACAGGGCUGCACCCUCGCUCCCUCCCCGGCUCAGGUUUUCCCCAGAUCAACCUAGAUUCUCCUCCAUGGCAUGUGAGAUUGGGCACGAGCUGGCCGGUGGGCUCCCCAGUCCUGGAAAGGAGUGUGCCUCCCGAGGGGCCCUCCCUGCGCCUUGGCCUGUGCCCACCCACCUCUGAUCCUGCAGGAUUCGGCACAGCUGCCACCGGUCCCAGAAGCUAAAGAGGAGGCAAGGGAGCCCUUAGCCUGUGCCUGCGCCUGGGCAGCCGCCCGUGCCCAGCCAAGCCGAGCUGGGCUUCGAAGCUGCGCGAAGUUCACCGACCCAUCCUCGCCUCCGGGAUGAUUCGGCAGGACUUUCUUGAAAUGGGAGCCGGAGUCUGGAACUCUGGCCUCUGCCCGGAGUCAGGCCGUCGCGGAUCUUGAGACAUCAGGGACACUGGGAGAGUCCUAGGACAAAUGACUACCAUCUGGCCAGGACCCAUCAGACCCCUGUCUUGUGACAUCUUGACCAAAAAUGGAGGAGACAUCCCAUGCAUCCAAAUGUUGUGACUCUGUUCCAAGUUCCAUGUCUCAAGAACUCCUGCUGCGUGUGUUUGGCUCACGCCCCUUCAAAGCACCUUCUUCCCCCACAGGAGCUCCAUGUUUUCAACGACCCUCAUGAGUCCACUCCCUGAGCUCCACAACUGGGAGCUCCUACUCCUGGUUCUGAGUGGGGACAGUCUUCCAGGCCAUCUAACCCUAAUGCCCCAACUGGGGGGCUGGAGACCCCAGACCCCCAUGAGUCAGCUCAUGGACUUGGCGUUUGGCAUAUUCAACAGUAGAGACAAGGUUGAAGAGACAGAAAAGAUUCAGGGACAACAGCGAAAGGCACAGUUAUUGGUGGCAGCCCACCCCUGCCCCACCUCAGGGUGACCCUCACUUGUGAAGACCCAUGGUGAGGACAGAAUCCAGGACACCUGAAUCAGAGCUAGUGUCUCGCUGAGGAAGGAUGUGUUUUAAGUGGGACAGGAGGGCCACUGGAAGGACCAGUGCCCCCAGUCAUGAAGGGGACUUGGGACUCCCAAACCAUUGAUGGCCAAGAGGACUGAAGACUGACAGGCCCAGGAAACCUCCCAGGCUCGCAUGGGACACCUGGUCAUUUCUCCAAAGGAGCCUCGGGUGACCCUUGAUGUGGCAGGUGUACAGGGACACCGUGACCUGGCCCAUGGGGACGGCUGCGGCUGCAAGAACAAAGAAUGCCUGCAGCAAGAAGAUCGCAACAACCAACCACACCCCCUCCCUGUUUUUUUGUAUAAAAGGAGC
This is a non-coding RNA of Vicugna pacos (alpaca), 1661 nucleotides long. Lineage: Eukaryota; Metazoa; Chordata; Mammalia; Artiodactyla; Camelidae. The record is from RefSeq and is a predicted model, not a curated record.